CCUAUCGCCUCUCUCCCCACGCGCCCCACCGCCUUACUCGCUCGUGGAUGGUAUCAUAAUCAAACAUUGAAAAGAGUGCCUCACCAUUCUCGUUAUUUCGUGCUGCUUGUAUCGCUGCCAAGCCACUGCUUCACCGAGGAAGCUGCGCCUGGAGGGCUUGUCCCUCAUCCUUGACCUUGCUUUUCUUCGCAGCACGCGCGGUGCUGCCGUCGCAAAACCAGACGAGCCAAAAACAACUUUAGCAGACACGUAGCGGUGCUUUAUCCUACCCACCCCACCCCACCCGCCAACACACACACACUCCUGUCCUCUCUUGUUGUGUGCUGCGUUUUUUUUUUUGUAGCUGUGUGCCUGUUUGCGGGUGGAGCGUGUCUUGUGCGAGAAGCAGAGGGGAAACCAACGAUACAUUCCCUUCUUGGGUCUUUGUUCACUCGAACUCCUACAUCUCGUAGUGGGAACAUUUGUCGCACGGUAUCCUGCAGCCCCCUCCACCUCCCCCAACCCACUGUACACUCAAUAUACACGGGCAUACACAGUUAAGCGAGUACCCAUACCUGCGCAUCCUCACCCAGGCACGCAGACACGCCCACACACAAACAGGCACACUCGAGCGCGCGCACAGUAAGUAGAGAAAGAGACCGCAGUGCCAACCGCCUCAUCCACGACGACAGUAGCAGGGAAAGAAGCAGCGGUGUUUCAGCCUCCUUUUCUUUUCACUCUCGUGUGUGCGUGUUUCCUCAACGCCGUCAGCGAUCUUCUCCUUUACUCUGUUUUUUGUUGUUGUUUUCUGCGUGCCUGUGUGAGGACAGAUCCAUCUUUUAAGUAUCUCUCACUCGCUCCCUCACUCGUUGUCCUUCUUCUGGGUUCUCCCUCUCCCCUUUCACUAUUUCUCGCUCCGUAUAAUAACGAUCUUUCUUGGUGUGUGUGUUUCAUUGUGUGUGUGAACGAUAGUGGGAAAGAGAGAGGCGGUGUGUCUUGAGGUUCGUCUUUCACGGAGCUUUCUAGGCCCUCCUCUCCGUCCUGCGGCUCGUCGUCAUUGCGGAGAGCUUUCGAAGACGCGGAGAAGAUAGAGAAGAAGCUAUUCUGCACGCCACAUCUCUUGCUAGCCUCUCCCUCCUCUUCUGUGUGUGUGUGUGUGUGUGCCACGUGUGCACCCAUGUUCUAAUCCCGCUUUUGUUUUUUCAGGCUUCGUCGUUUCUUUUUUGUUUUCCGCUCCCCUCCCCCUCACAUGAACAUCGUUUUAGAUCGCUCUCUCACGCGACGUCCUUUUCUUCCUUCCUGUGUGUGUGUGUGUGUGUGUGUGUGUGUGAUUUCACUGUUUUGCGUCUUUUUUAUUGUUUCUUGUGCGUUUAUGUGUGCCUGGGGAGAGG
RNAcentral lists this unclassified non-coding RNA (1370 nucleotides) under Leishmania donovani. Its description in RNAcentral is "gene:unknown". Lineage: Eukaryota; Euglenozoa; Kinetoplastea; Trypanosomatida; Trypanosomatidae. The record is from RNAcentral.